This 69-nucleotide transfer RNA is filed under the name Tlalocohyla smithii (dwarf Mexican treefrog). Its description in RNAcentral is "tRNA-Val". The record is from RNAcentral. Lineage: Eukaryota; Metazoa; Chordata; Amphibia; Anura; Hylidae.
CAAAGUAUAGCRUAACCAAAGCCUCUCGCUUACACCGAGAACAUAUCUGUUUGACUCAGAUUAUUUUGA